Long non-coding RNA from Ceratina calcarata, 617 nucleotides. RefSeq lists it as uncharacterized. The transcript is spliced from 3 exons. NCBI's taxonomy places the organism in Eukaryota, Metazoa, Arthropoda, Insecta, Hymenoptera, Apidae. The record is from RefSeq and is a predicted model, not a curated record.
CCCAAUCGUCUUUUGGUAUCGAUCAUCGAUCACCCGGUGAUCGUUUAACUCAAUAGUGCAGUGAUCGGUCAUUGAGAUUUCGCGACGAUUCUUACUCUGUCCACGACGAUCACGCGGUAUCAGUGAUUAUUUAAUUAGGUGAUUGCACGGCCGAGCGAGAAUGCGCGUGAACGGAAAAUCGGAUUAGCAACGGGAAAUCGGCGUGCAUCGAACGUGCGUGCGUGGUGAGAAGAAUCGAGAUAUCUGAUAAUUGAUCGUGACAGUUACGUAUCGCGAUCAUAACGAAGUUAUCUGGGUGUGACAGUGAACGAGUGACGUAUAUCCGAAGGAUCCAAUGAUCUGUCAUACGCCGAAGGAGAUUCGAGCGGUUCACCUGUGAGACGAGCGGAGUGACUGAAAGAUAAGGCAAAAGAGAGGAGAAGAGGAAACAACGGGAGAUGAAGGGCCGACCCUGAAGAGAGAUCGGGCCUGGCAAGGCCAGUUCGCAGAGACAGGGAGGAGUAACGGAAAGGUCGUCAGCCCCUUGAAAAAGGGGUCGAGGCCUGCGAGCAGCUUGAAAGCUCGGUCACAAUAGGUUGCCUGCAAAGCUCUGGUUCCAGGGGGUCGGAGGCGGAGGA